This 204-nucleotide microRNA precursor is filed under the name Oryza barthii. RNAcentral describes it as "MIR812 microRNA precursor family". It matches the Rfam family "MIR812 microRNA precursor family". Lineage: Eukaryota; Viridiplantae; Streptophyta; Magnoliopsida; Poales; Poaceae. The record is from Rfam by way of RNAcentral.
AGAAAGGCAAACCCUGGGUUUCCGUGUCUAACUUUGACUGUCCGUCUUAUAUGAAUUUUUUUAUAAUUCGUAUUUUUAUUGUUGUUAGAUGAUAAAACAUGAUUAAUAUUUUAUGCGUGACUUGUAUUUUUAAUUUUUUUCAUAUUUUUUUGGAAUAAGACGGACGGUCAAACGUUGGGCACGGAAACUAGGGUUUAUCUUUUU